CCCACUAAAACCAAACACCAGGAAUGGUAGACUGUUAUGGAUUACCCCCAAAAUAACCAGAAGCCAACAAGUAUUUCAAUUCCAAAGACAUCCAGCCUAGAAUCCUACUAGAGAUCAGAACAGGUACAUAAUGAGAGAUCUCCAUCAGUGAGCUUGGCACCAGCCACAGGUGGCCCACUGCCACCAGAGCUGGGCACAGGCCCACUUCCAGCUGCUACUCAUGAUGGAGCAAAAACCCUCACUUCUAGCCAUCACCCCUCCAGAUCUGGUACAGAGCCCGGAAAAGGUCAGGUGCAGUGGCCAACCAACAUCUGUAAUCCCAACACUUUUGGAGGCCAAGGUGAGAGGAUCACAUGAGGCCAGGAAGAGACCAGCCUAGGCAACCUAGAGAGACCCUAUCAUCAUGCCACUGCACUCCAGCCUGAGCGAAAGAGCAAGACCCUGUCUCAGAAAGAAAAAAAAAAAAGAAGAAAUUAAAAUAACUGCUGUGCCUGGUAUGGAGCUCCUGAGAUCUUCUAUGGAAAUGCACACUGAGUGUGUAAAAUGACAAAGUCUUUCACAAUCAGAUAAGAAAAGCCAAAUUGUUAUAUAUAUAUUCUUUAGACACAGUAUGUCACAAGUCUAAAAUAUAUUCACAGUAAGAAAUGGUAGGAUACUUUCACAAUAGCAAAGUGUUCAAAUGGAUCAGCUUAUAUUCACUCUUAAGAAAAAUGUGCUACUGAAGAAUAUGACCAAGCAAUUCAGGAGGAUUGCCAGUGAAACCUACUCAACCUCACUGAAAAUCAAAAUGAUGCAAUUACAAUGAUGACAUUUUGCAUUCAUCAAGUUUGUUUAUUUGUUUAUUUAUUUAUUUAGAGACGGAGUUUUGCU
This 870-nucleotide long non-coding RNA is filed under the name Homo sapiens (human). Its description in RNAcentral is "HSALNT0360572". The record is from RNAcentral. Lineage: Eukaryota; Metazoa; Chordata; Mammalia; Primates; Hominidae.